RNAcentral lists this ribosomal RNA (253 nucleotides) under uncultured bacterium. RNAcentral's name for it is "partial 16S ribosomal RNA". It matches the Rfam family "Bacterial small subunit ribosomal RNA", at positions 524 to 776 of the family's 1533-position model. The record is from RNAcentral.
GACAGAGGAGCCAAGCGUUGUCCGGAUUGACUGGGCGUAAAGCGCACGCAGGCGGAUGCGCGCGUGGGGUGUGAAAUCUGGCCGCUUAACGGCCAGGCGCCAUCCCAUACGGCGCGUCUGGAGUGAUGCAGAGGUCGAUGGAAUUGCCGGUGUAGUGGUGAAAUGCGUAGAGGUCGGCAGGAACACCCAGGGGGAAACCAGUCGACUGGGCAUCUACUGACGCUGAGGUGCGAGAGCGUGGGGAGCGAACCGG